RNAcentral lists this transfer RNA (66 nucleotides) under Anaplecta sp. 4 ZQW-2020. Its description in RNAcentral is "tRNA-Gly". Lineage: Eukaryota; Metazoa; Arthropoda; Insecta; Blattodea; Anaplectidae. The record is from RNAcentral.
AUUUAUUUAAUAUAUAAAAGUAUAUUUAACUUCCAAUUAAAAAGACUAAUAAAAUUAGAAUAAAUA